Long non-coding RNA from Monodelphis domestica (gray short-tailed opossum), 900 nucleotides. RefSeq lists it as uncharacterized. NCBI's taxonomy places the organism in Eukaryota, Metazoa, Chordata, Mammalia, Didelphimorphia, Didelphidae. The record is from RefSeq and is a predicted model, not a curated record.
UUGCCCUCACUUCCGUCUUUCUUUACAAGGCAAGGCGGGGAUGGAAGCGCCUUAAGGUCUCCUAGGAAACAGAGUAGCUAUGCCUGCGAGAGUCAGGGAGGCCCCUGUCGGCCCGGCGGGGAACUCGCCCUCUGCGCGACUGAGGCUGCUAAGAGCCUGGAAUUCCAAAUGCGUCCAGCAAAAUGCUGGGUUCUCGUCAUCCCGAGAGGAUUGCAGAGUGUAGUGUCGGAGACGUGUCUAUUCUGUGGCCAAGCCCCUUCCCUCCUCUGACACUGCCACCACUCUGGUGUAGGUCCGUGCAAAUAGCCAGCUGAUUAAAUUUAGUAUACACAUUUAUUUCAGUGAUGAAGAGAAUAAGAGCGAUUUCAACCAUUAAUCUCAAGAGAUAUUAUAUGAGUGAUGUCAGAAACCAGAGUGCAGUGGGAUUAGAAGAGAAUCACAGGAGGAAACUGAAGAACUGAGCAUGGAUGACUGGCCAGGUUUGCAACUUGGUACAAUGCUUACUACUUCUCAUUCUCAACCAGCCUAGUUCCUACCUCAUUAUCUCUUCUCAGGAUUUACUGCAACAACUUAUUUGGUCUCCUUGCCCCAAGACUUUCUACAUUCCAAUUUGUCCUCUAAACAACCCUCAAGGUGAUUUUUCCAAAAGCUCCUCUAUUAAUAAAUCCCAGUGGUUUCCUACUACCUGUAGAAUAAAAUUUAGAUUUCUCUAGCAUCUAAAGUGCCUUAUGAGUUGGUCCCUUACUUCUCUCCCCCACUCUAUGAUCUAGCAUUAUUGACUGCCCAGUUGGCAGAAGAUGGUCCAAUACCUAGAAUCUUACACCUAUUGGAAUCCCUGAUUUCCUUCAAACCUCUGCUAAGAUGUCAUCUUUUACAUAAAGUUUUUCCCAAUUUUUCCCA